RNAcentral lists this unclassified non-coding RNA (1672 nucleotides) under Hevea brasiliensis (rubber tree). Lineage: Eukaryota; Viridiplantae; Streptophyta; Magnoliopsida; Malpighiales; Euphorbiaceae. The record is from RNAcentral.
UGUUGGUAAAGCUUCCAAAAUAUUACCUAUCUGUUGGGAUUAUAAAUCCCCUGUCGGAAAAGUAUAAGCAUAGAAGAGUAAAUAUAAGUGGUUAGAUUGCUAAGUCAUUUUGAUGUGUAAAGAAAUCUAAUCACUUGUAUAAGCUCGAAUUAAAAAUGAAUUAAUUGUAAUUUGAUCAAUACUCUCUUCAAAUUUAAUUUGAUAACCUUGAGGAAGGAGUGUUUGAAUUAUGGAAUUAUAAAUCUCACCUAGGUAAAAUAUAAACAUAAAAAGGUAAAUAUAAGUGAAAGUACAAAUCAUGUAGCUAGUUAUUUUGAUAUGUAAAGCAAUUUAAUUCUUGAAUUAAAAAUCAAUUAAAUUGUAAUUUGACUAACACAAUAACACUCUUUCCAAAUUUAAUAACCACAUCGACAACAUCAGCUUUUAUAUUCAAAAACAUGAAGAAAGGUCAAGAAUGUGAAUUUCAACUAUAUAAUUCUUUAGACAUCCUAACAUAUUUGAUUGCAUUCAAUGUUUGGCAGGUAAAAGAAUAAGGAAGGAAUACAAGGCAAAUUAGCAAUAAAAAUAAUAUCUACGAAUCCUUUUUUUACCACCUCAUUAGAUGGAUCUUCCAUUUUCUUCUACCAGCCACUGGCACAUUCAACUCACAUUGCUUAAAAUUUCUCUCAUUAACUACAAAAUAAACUUACCAAGAAUGCACUUUUCAAAUGGAAUUCUUUAAACUAACUUGCUAAAUUAUUUACACAAUAAUUUUUUCAUUGUCCAAUUAAAGGAUAGCUAACUAGUAAAUCUGUACAAAUUACAUAAUUGGAAAUUUGGAAAUGAUAAAGAAUAUCAUGCAAAUAUGGUAAACUAUAAACAACCUAAAUUGAUAUAUAGAUAGCUGAAAAAUGAAAAAUUAAUGUAUAACUACAUCAAAGCGAAUAGAAUGCACCACGAAAUCAAAGAGUACACAAGAAUAUUAAGAUUAAGAUACCUAGAACUCAGUUGACUGGUAAGUAGUAUAUUCAUCAAAAAAAUAAUAAGAAAAACUCCCUUCAUAUUAGUACAACACAAAAUUAGAUAACGCAAAGUACAUCAUCACUACAUACAUCGCAAGGCAGAUGUCAAAGAGAAAGCCAUUUGGCUUAAAUGAAGGGGAUAAAGUGCAGGGAUGAUGUAUUCAUGGUUGAAUAAGACCUCAAUUGACAUCUCAUGAACAGGAAAAAGGAGGAAAACUGAUAAUCUAUCCUGAAACUCCAGAAUUCAGGCUCUAAAUGUACCCAAGCAUUGAAAAGAAGAAUGCAGUUGUCCACAAUUCCACAUAGCACUAAAAAAUUGUUUAUUGAAGUAGUACAUUGUCCCUUCACUAGCUGCCUUAAUCACUGUUGCUUGAGUAUACACGUCAAAUACAAUGUAUUUAGCUGCAACUCAUACUAGUUUGAGUUUUGAAAGUAUUUGGCCCGAUACAUCAGAUUCAUACACCAGCAUUCGUCUUCAUAUCCUUUUAACAUAAGGGAUUGCAAUGUUUCAAACCUGAAACCAGAUCGGACUGUUGAGCCGCCGCAACCAUCAACAGAUUCGAUCUUGGCUUUGCAGACUGCAGGUUUUUGGAGCAAUUCAAACUGCAUGUAAAAUAUUUCUUAAAUAGUUUUAUUUGAAAGAUAUAUUAUUCAAAACAUUUUUAUUCAAU